GAAAGAAUUCUAGGAACCUCACUAAUGAGUCUGAAAUUAAUUGUUUUAGACCACCUAGACACAAUUCUAGGAAUUUUAUAAAUGAGUCUAGAAUGAAUAAUUUUAGACCACCUAGACAUGACUCUAGGAAAUUCAACGCUUCUAGGGGGAACAACUAUAGAUCACCUAGAACGCAUUUGGCUCAACCUAGACAUAUGCACAAUCCUAAUGUUAU
Molecule: long non-coding RNA, 214 nt
Filed under: Nicotiana benthamiana
Lineage: Eukaryota; Viridiplantae; Streptophyta; Magnoliopsida; Solanales; Solanaceae
Description: long non-coding RNA (NBEN_LNC019632)
Source: RNAcentral